This 765-nucleotide ribosomal RNA is filed under the name uncultured Treponema sp. RNAcentral describes it as "bacterial SSU rRNA". It matches the Rfam family "Bacterial small subunit ribosomal RNA", at positions 28 to 776 of the family's 1533-position model. Lineage: Bacteria; Pseudomonadati; Spirochaetota; Spirochaetia; Treponematales; Treponemataceae. The record is from RNAcentral.
AACGAACGCUGGCGGCGCGUCUUAAGCAUGCAAGUCGAACGGCAAGAGAGGAGCUUGCUUCUCUCCUAGAGUGGCGGACUGGUGAGGAACACGUGGGUAAUCUACCCUUAAGAUGGGGAUAGCUGCUAGAAAUAGCAGGUAAUACCGAAUACACUCGGCAUAUCACAAGAGGUGUUGAGGAAAGGAAGCUACGGCUUCGCUUGAGGAUGAGCUUGCGUCCCAUUAGCUAGUUGGUGAGGUAAAGGCCCACCAAGGCGACGAUGGGUAUCCGGCCUGGGAGGGUGAACGGACACAUUGGGACUGAGAUACGGCCCAAACUCCUACGGGAGGCAGCAGCUAAGAAUAUUCCGCAAUGGACGGAAGUCUGACGGAGCGACGCCGCGUGGAUGAAGAAGGCUGAAAAGUUGUAAAAUCCUUUUGUUGAUGAAGAAUAAGGGUGAGAGGGAAUGCUCAUCUGAUGACGGUAAUCGACGAAUAAGCCCCGGCUAAUUACGUGCCAGCAGCCGCGGUAACACGUAAGGGGCGAGCGUUGUUCGGAAUUAUUGGGCGUAAAGGGCAUGUAGGCGGCUAUGUAAGCCUGAUGUGAAAUCCUGGGGCUUAACCCUAGAAUAGCAUUGGGUACUGUAUAGCUUGAAUUACGGAAGGGAAACUGGAAUUCCAAGUGUAGGGGUGGAAUCUGUAGAUAUUUGGAAGAACACCGGUGGCGAAGGCGGGUUUCUGGCCGAUAAUUGACGCUGAGAUGCGAAAGUGUGGGGAUCGAACAGG